This 496-nucleotide ribosomal RNA is filed under the name uncultured bacterium. Its description in RNAcentral is "partial 16S ribosomal RNA". It matches the Rfam family "Bacterial small subunit ribosomal RNA", at positions 29 to 507 of the family's 1533-position model. The record is from RNAcentral.
AUGCACGCUGGCGGCGUGCCUCAUACAUGCAAGUCGAGCGAACGGACGAGAAGCUUGCUUUUCUGAUGUUAGCGGCGGACGGGUGAGUAACACGUGGAUAACCUACCUAUAAGACUGGGAUAACUUCGGGAAACCGGAGCUAAUACCGGAUAAUAUUUUGAACCGCAUGGUUCAAAAGUGAAAGACGGUCUUGCUGUCACUUAUAGAUGGAUCCGCGCUGCAUUAGCUAGUUGGUAAGGUAACGGCUUACCAAGGCAACGAUGCAUAGCCGACCUGAGAGGGUGAUCGGCCACACUGGAACUGAGACACGGUCCAGACUCCUACGGGAGGCAGCAGUAGGGAAUCUUCCGCAAUGGGCGAAAGCCUGACGGAGCAACGCCGCGUGAGUGAUGAAGGUCUUCGGAUCGUAAAACUCUGUUAUUAGGGAAGAACAUAUGUGUAAGUAACUGUGCACAUCUUGACGGUACCUAAUCAGAAAGCCACGGCUAACUACGUG